Long non-coding RNA from Vespa velutina, 3671 nucleotides. RefSeq lists it as uncharacterized. NCBI's taxonomy places the organism in Eukaryota, Metazoa, Arthropoda, Insecta, Hymenoptera, Vespidae. The record is from RefSeq and is a predicted model, not a curated record. The transcript has 3 exons.
CAAGAGAAAGAGAGAGAAAGAGAGAGAGAGAGAGAGAGAGAGAGAGAGAGAGAGAAGAAAGGUAAGGAAAAGGAAAAUAAGGAAGAUAGAAAGACUGGCAACAAUCGGUGGAAGGACAAUGCACAAGAGUCGUCCGAUUGGUUUGUAGCCACGCGCCAAAGUAUUUUGUACCUAAGAGUACGGCAGAUGUUUCUAACGAGCGAAGAACCUUAGCUCUAGAAAGAGUAAGAGAGAAAGAGAGCGAUAGAGAGAGAGCGAGAGAGAGAGAGGGAGAGAGAAAGACGGAACAGCAUUGAGGAGAAGGGGAAGGAAAAAAGAGGAGAGAGAAGAGUAUCGAUCGCGAUAUGCCACGCACCGUCGCGAUUAGUCGGCCGUCGUAAUGAAGAUAAGUCCUAACGAGCUCGCUGUCGGCGCGUUAUCGGGCCGAGAGACAUGCGAUCAACGAGCUUUCGAAGGAUAAGCCUACCAAGAAGGUAGAAGUAGAAGUUACGAAAGAGUCGAAAAAAAGAAGGGAAAAAAUUCUUUGACUUCGCCACCGGCGGUAAAUUAUCUCCCGAAGUCUGAUCAGAACAACACGGUGGCUCGUGUACCUGUGCCAUCAACGUGAAAUUUAUGUCCUUUUGUCUACCCUGCAGUCCUUCUGUAUAUUUAUUUCUUGAUCGUUCGAUUGGAGAAAGUAAUGCGAAAGCUAUAGACGUUUAUCGGUUGAACAUUUUGGUGAUUCGUUUAGAUAUAGUAAUAAGAUAAUCCAAAGAUUCACUGACUAUAACAUUAAAAAAUCGUGUUGCAUCGAUCAAGUAUGAGAAAGUUAAGGAAUCCGGAAGUGAGUGGAAGCACCUUGCAUCGUAUAAGGGGUUGAGAAAGAGGGUUGUCAGAGUCUCUUAAAAGUCAGUGAAUCCAUCUACGAAGGACCCUAGUGCGAGGGUGCAGGGGUUGGUACUAGGUGUUCGACCAAAUCGGGGGUUGUGCACCCCCAGAUCGGUAGCGCGUGUCCUCUUCAAUGGAGUAGUCCACCGCUAUUGCCAAGAGGUACCCCAUCUAAAAGGGGUUAAAUGCUCUUUUUUUUUCCCCGCGACGCGCCGUCAAGGUGUUGACCGCCCCUCACGACGAAAAAUCAACGUCAACGGAGGGAACCCGAAGUGGCCCCGAUUAGGAAUCGUUUCGUGACAACGGAAUAAAAACACACGGUAAAGACGAUACGCGAAGUAUACAAUUUGAAGCAAUAGAUUCGAGAGAAGAAAUAUAGAAAUCGAGAGGUUAUUGUAUAGUUGUGUAAUCGAUUGCGUAAGAUGUUUAGAGUGUUAGACAGGGAGAGAGGGAGAGAAUGGGUAAAUUAAUCGUACUCCAUAGGUAGAAAGUAUGAGCACGAAAAGAUACAAGAAAAAUAUAAAAAGAUGAAAGAAUGGAACGUUCUCUUCUUUUCGACCAGGUGAAUGUCCUCGGGAGAGUGAAGACCGAGCAUCGAAGAUCAAGAGAAAAUGAAAGAGAAAGAGAGGGUAGCAGGGGUGAUUUUUCAUUUUUCGAUGCCACGAAACACCGACAAUGGACGCGUGUCACGACGGUAGCAGCUGCUUUCGCCACUGUGUUUAGCCCGCGCACAUGGCACAUAGAGACUCGCCGCCAUCGCAGCAAGAUCGCAUAUCGUAAGAUCGAAGUUGCGCAGCUUUAGCCGUAUUUGAAUUGGUCGAGAAUGUGUUGUUCGCAUUUGAAAUAAGCCGCUUUGUCUUUCUAGAAUUUAGUUUUUCUUUUUGUUAAAUUUUUCUUCUCCAAUUAAUUGCGACAAGCGACGUUCCAUUACUGACAUUUAAUUUUAUCAGGUUUUAUUGAAUUAAGUGCACUCAAGCUUAUUGCUAUUAUAAAAAUUAAUAUCGUAAUUCUACCUUGACAUGAUGUAAGAAAUAUUGGCGAGAAAGGAGAGUGGAAAAAACCUUUGAUCGACUUAUUUGAAAAAUGUAUUUUUUUUUUUUUUGAGCCUUUAAUAGGCUCAACAGUCGCCACUUCACGGAUCAGUUGUUCAACGAAGAGAUCGAUAUUCGAAAGGAUCCAGAAAAGAAAGAUACGAUCUACCUUCUUGGGCUCCAUCACUAUGGCGGACUAGCCGGAGCGAAAUGUCAGGUAGACGAACGUUCUACGAUGAAACGAAUAAAGGUUCCUUCUUUGGCAUGGGCUCUUAUUCUGUUAGAUAUUUUAUAUGAAAGAAGUAAUCUUCGGAAUUAUAUUAUAUUGUAUAACAUUUCUUCUAUGAAGAAAAUUUAUAUAUUUUUAUCAAAAUAUUUGCGUUAACUUUUAUUUCAAUGAUUCAAGUUGUUCAAAUAUUAAUAUAGAUACCGUCGUAUUGUUCCAAGAGAAAUAAAUUGUAUUUUGUAAUUGUUCAAAUCUAUCAGAGCGAAGUAAAAAAUCAAGAAAAAAGAUAAAAAAUCGAUGCAUCUUCUAUCGCACAACAAGAGUAUAUCUAUUCGUUGACCCUUUGGUAGAAGAAUACGCAUUAAUUUAUAUCUGCAUAGGCUGACUAUUAUUAUGUUAAUUUUUUAACCUACCCGCUGACAUCAUGGAACCAGAUAUUCUGGUAGCAUCCCAUACCUUGCUAACGUACGUAUACGUUUAUAUGCACGUACGAUUAAAAUGCGCUCGGCUUAUACAUACAUAAAAAGAAAAAAAAAAAAAGAAAAAGAAGAAGAAGAAAAAGACGGUCCUAGCACCUGGGAAAAUCAGCAGACGGAGAUAAUUCGCAGCAUCCAUCGCAGCAUUUAUUCUUUUCAUCGCGUAUGGAUAGCGACCCAAGAGAAAAGAUGAUGCUUAACAACGAUGUUUCUUCGGAAAAGUCGAAAGAAAAGGAAUAGCUAGCAGUAGAUAGUAAUUCGAUUAAGAUACAAGACGCAACGCAGCCGGAUGAAUAAAGAAAAGACAUAGAAUAUACCCGCAGGAUGGUUUAUAAGGGUGAAUGUGAAAAAAAUUAACUCUUAUUCGAGUGCUAAUGCUUCGACACGUAUGGAUAAAAAUCUAUGAAACCCUCAUCAAAUGAAGGAAUUAACAGAGCGAGAAAUUCCGGGACAACAAUAUUUUGAACAGCUGGGAGAAAAUGUACAGCUUGCUACUGAACGAAAAAAUGAGACUAUACGCAAUACUGUGUUGUUUGUUACGAACUUAAAAUCGAUCGAUCUGUUUCAUACUUCUCUUAUCCCACCCUUCGUACCACGCGGAAUUACGCUUCAAUUUGUGAGCCACUUCGCUCUAUCUUUUGUUGGAACGUCCCAUAAAGAAAGAAAGUCGUAAAACGGUAGGCAAGACUGUCUGUUUCAUGUGGACCCUAUCUUUCUACAUAGUAGAAACAGCCAAUCCCACGGGUUUCAAAGAUUCGACAUUUUUCCUCUUUUUGUUCCUCCCUUCCGAACGCGCUAACGAUUUAUUCCGACAACCUCUCCGAUUCGAUAUCAACGACUCUAUUUUUUAGCCUAGAGCAAAUCAACUGCCUUCCAAAACCCUUGCUCCGAUAUUUUUGUACUCCAAUACUGGAGAGGAAGAAGAAAUUCAAAUUAGGCAGUCUUUUUAGAAUAGUUUUGGUACGAACAAUGCAUGUUCGUUUGUAUCACGUUGGUAGGGGAAAAGGGUGUAAUAAAAUGGAUCUUGUAUUAUGGUUUAUGAUAUUGUUUAUUAAAUCCAAUUGUUACAAA